This 253-nucleotide ribosomal RNA is filed under the name uncultured bacterium. Its description in RNAcentral is "partial 16S ribosomal RNA". It matches the Rfam family "Bacterial small subunit ribosomal RNA", at positions 524 to 776 of the family's 1533-position model. The record is from RNAcentral.
UACAGAGGGUGCAAGCGUUAAUCGGAAUUACUGGGCGUAAAGCGUGCGUAGACGGUUACAUAAGUCAGAUGUGAAAGCCCCGGGCUCAACCUGGGAAUUGCAUUUGAGACUGUGUAGCUAGGGUGCGGAAGAGGGAAGCGGAAUUUCCGGUGUAGCGGUGAAAUGCGUAGAUAUCAGGAGGAACACCGGUGGCGAAGGCAGCUCGCUGGGACGGUACUGACGCUGAGGCGCGAAAGCGUGGGGAGCAAACAGG